RNAcentral lists this ribosomal RNA (118 nucleotides) under Candidatus Roizmanbacteria bacterium RIFCSPHIGHO2_02_FULL_40_53. The record is from RNAcentral. Lineage: Bacteria; Candidatus Roizmaniibacteriota. RNAcentral also lists the same sequence under 6 other names.
CCUGGUUAUUUGAGCGGUUUGGCACCACCUCUUACCAUCCCGAACAGAGAAGUGAAACGAGCCAGCGCCAAUGAUACUCACUCCCAACGGAGCUGGGGAAAGUAGGUCGUAGCCGGGG